This 791-nucleotide long non-coding RNA is filed under the name Homo sapiens (human). Its description in RNAcentral is "HSALNT0229393". Lineage: Eukaryota; Metazoa; Chordata; Mammalia; Primates; Hominidae. The record is from RNAcentral.
UAUGUUUGUAGAGACAAGGUCUCACUAUUUUGCCCAGGCUGGUCUCGAACUCCUGGUCUCAAGCAAUAGCAGAAGUGGUUUCAGUGCCCCCGGCAGUAGCUAUAACAGACGAGUUGAUAUCCUGGCAUGUAGCAUUUGAUGGUAGUGACAGUAACAGCAGUUUUCUUAUCAGGUCAAAUCAGUUCUAUGGCUUGGAAUUAGUUCUCCAGUUUGCCCCACAAUUCUGUAAGCUGCCUAAUACCCUUAACAAAUCCCUCCUCUGCUUAAGCCAGCCAAUGUAAAAUCUGUUAUCUGUAAGUCAAGACUUCUGACUGAGCCAUUCACUAAUACAGAGGAUGCUACGGUCAACAGCUCUAGAAAAAAUUUUCUCUGGGCUCUUUUCCGAACACCGUGUUUCUCAAACUCUAGCCAUUCAUUCACUACCUUCCAAAAAAUUUGCCAUAUAUUCAUACCACACAUAAUAGUUUUUAUUUUAUUUUUGAGACAGAGUCUCGCUCUGUCACCCAGGCUGGAGUACAAUGGCGUGAUAUCGGCUCACUGCAACCUCCGCCUCCUGGGUUCAAGCGAUUCUCCUGCUUCAGCCUCCUGAGUAGCUGAGACUACAGGCGUGCACCAUGCCCAGUGCAUCCAUAAUAUUAUCUACCAAACAAUAUUCUUUUAAGUUGAUCUGUUUUUUUAAAAACUUGAUUAUUAUGCCAGUUUUUUUUCAAGCUAAUACACAUUAAAAUAAAUAUAGCACCACAAAAAUAUAAACCAUUAAUUCAAAUACCACCCCCAAAAACUCAUAACUU